Ictalurus punctatus (channel catfish) is the source of this 445-nucleotide long non-coding RNA. NCBI's taxonomy places the organism in Eukaryota, Metazoa, Chordata, Actinopteri, Siluriformes, Ictaluridae. The record is from Ensembl.
UAUAUAUAUAUAUAUAUAUAUAAAAUAUAAAACAAAAUAUAAAAACCAUAACAAACAUAUGGCUUCUGACCCGGUCAGCUAGUCUAAAAGAACAGAACUAAGGAGAGGCUGGUGUGAUAUUCUUGAACAGAAUUGUGUCAAUUAGAUCAACAUCCUGUUGAGAAAUUGACUAUAACAAAAGCCCAUUUAAAAAAAAAAAAACAACAAAAAAAACCCUAUAUAUAAUACAUUUCCCACAAAUAUUGCUGUCCUGGACCAGGGGUAUCAUCUUGGAGCUCAUUUGAAAUUGCAUUUCUAUUGAGGGUUUAUAUAUAAAAUUUUCAUUUACUACUCAUGUCACUGCCACGCUGCACCUCUAUACCUCCUCGUCUACUUGCCCUACACACAGUUCUGAAGGUUGCCUGCUGACAGGGAAGGAUGUACUUGGAGUUUGGCUAAACCUGAC